RNAcentral lists this ribosomal RNA (244 nucleotides) under uncultured bacterium. Its description in RNAcentral is "partial 16S ribosomal RNA". It matches the Rfam family "Bacterial small subunit ribosomal RNA", at positions 551 to 793 of the family's 1533-position model. The record is from RNAcentral.
UUACUGGGCGUAAAGCGCAUGCAGGUGGUUUGUUAAGUCAGAUGUGAAAGCCCGGGGCUCAACCUCGGAACUGCAUUUGAAACUGGCAGACUAGAGUACUGUAGAGGGGGUAGGAAUUUCAGGUGUAGCGGUGAAAAUGCGUAGAGAUCUGAAGGAAUACCGGUGGCGAAGGCGGCCCCCUGGACAGAUACUGACACUCAGAUGCGAAAGCGUGGGGAGCAAACAGGAUUAGAUACCCUGGUAG